Molecule: transfer RNA, 88 nt
Filed under: Mucilaginibacter sp. 14171R-50
Lineage: Bacteria; Pseudomonadati; Bacteroidota; Sphingobacteriia; Sphingobacteriales; Sphingobacteriaceae
Also listed under: 1 other name
Description: tRNA-Ser
Rfam family: tRNA
About the family: Transfer RNA (tRNA) molecules are approximately 80 nucleotides in length. Their secondary structure includes four short double-helical elements and three loops (D, anti-codon, and T loops).
Source: RNAcentral
GGAGAGGUGUCUGAGUGGUCGAAAGAGCACGCCUGGAAAGUGUGUAUAUGCCAAAAGCGUAUCGAGGGUUCGAAUCCCUCCCUCUCCG